This 301-nucleotide ribosomal RNA is filed under the name uncultured bacterium. RNAcentral's name for it is "partial 16S ribosomal RNA". It matches the Rfam family "Bacterial small subunit ribosomal RNA", at positions 509 to 809 of the family's 1533-position model. The record is from RNAcentral.
CAGCAGCCGCGGUAAUACAGAGGAUGCAAGCGUUAUCCGGAAUGAUUGGGCGUAAAGGGAGCGCAGGCGGACAUAUAAGUCCAUCUUAAAAGUGCGGGGCUCAACCCCGUGAGGGGAUGGAAACUGUAUGCCUUGAGUGCAGGAGAGGAAAGCGGAAUUCCCAGUGUAGCGGUGAAAUGCGUAGAUAUUGGGAGGAGCACCAGUGGCGAAGGCGGCUUUCUGGACUGCAACUGACGCUGAGGCUCGAAAGCCAGGGGAGCGAACGGGAUUAGAUACCCCUGUAGUCCAUGUCUCUUAUACA